ACGUAUUUAGGGUCAACACUUAAGGAUUUUGUUAACUUUUUAGAAGGUAAACAUCCAGUAUGUG
Molecule: transfer RNA, 64 nt
Filed under: Heterosigma akashiwo
Lineage: Eukaryota; Raphidophyceae; Chattonellales; Chattonellaceae
Description: tRNA-THR
Source: RNAcentral